AUAGGUAGAACCGUCAAUUUCCGUCUUCCAUUUGGCUUAGAAACCCUAACUAAACCCCUGCAUAACCGUAAACCUUUGAUCGGAAAAAUGAACCGGCCGGUGAGUUUGCUCGACGACGCUCUAAAUCUCGAAUCGACACAAAAAGGUCGUGUGGUUUUAGUGGAGGAUUGCGUCGAAACUAGCGGCGCGUUCGUUCUUCACCACCUCAUAAAACGGUUUCUUUCUCCUAAUCUUUCGGCAUCAGAUAGUAUCGUCUUGUUUGUGGCUUUCGCUCAACCGUUUUCUCACUACGACCGUGUCCUCCGUAAGAUGGGUUGCAACUUAGCUGCGCUACGGGAGACUAAAAGGUUGUUAUUUUUUGACAUGCUUAUGCUGGAAUGUCCAGGUGAGAAUAUCAGAUGACGGAGUUGAAGGUGGAUUAAUUGCUUUAUACGGGAAUAUUCAGAAAGCUGUGGAAGUUAAUUCAUCAAACAAGAAUAUUACACUUAUAAUUGAUGAUAUUUCUCUUCUAGAAGUGGCUGCUAAUGGUUCUACAAAAGACGUUCUAAAUUUUAUGCAUUACUGCCAUACAUUAACCGCACAGUUUGGUUGUACGAUAAUUACUGUUCUUCAUGAGGACAUUUAUUCAAGUGGAGAUGGAUUUACCUUUCCUUUACAAAUGGAGUACCUUGCUGACAUCACCAUAAAAACCGAGCCUUUGAUAACCGGGUUGGCAGCAGAUGUUCACGGGCAGUUGACCAUAUUGAACAAGGGAAUGAUUGAUGGAUUUGGGAGCUCGAAGGGCAAGAUACACAAUUUUCAUUACAAGAUCAAGGAAAACAGUGUUGAUUAUUUCUAUCCAGGCAGUCGGUCAUGAAAACGUGCAAGUUCUGUUAUGGUAUUGCAUGUAUAAACUUUACCUGCAACGAAUACUGAAUCCGAAACAUAUUUUACUAGAUUUUCGUAUCGGUUUUGCAUUUGAAUUUUAGAAAAUUGGGGAAUUAGUAAUGGUUUAACCUUGGGUGUUCUGUUUGAAGGUUAUGUUUGCUGUCACUUGCCAAAACCCAAAAUGCGUGUUUAGACGCAUUCCACACAUUUAUUUGUAGCAAAGUUUGUUUUGUUUUUUAAUUAUAAAUGGAUUUGACAUUGCAUA
This is an RNA transcript of Helianthus annuus (common sunflower), 1132 nucleotides long. It is a transcript of the gene named elongator complex protein 6, with no coding region annotated. The transcript is spliced from 5 exons. NCBI's taxonomy places the organism in Eukaryota, Viridiplantae, Streptophyta, Magnoliopsida, Asterales, Asteraceae. The record is from RefSeq and is a predicted model, not a curated record.